AUGAAGGACUCCACGGAUGAACAGAACGGCGAGGGAGCUGCAAGAGUAAAACAAGGCCAUAGGCAUCCUAGGAAGAAGCAAGUUCAGGAAGGUAGAAACAGAGCAUCGCCAACAAGGCUAGUAAAGUUAAACAAGAGCUUGGAUCAACGGCAGAAGGAUCUGAUAGAAACUUACCAUCUGGGAGGCAUACUGAAGAUCGAAGCAACAACACUACCCGCAGACCUCAGCAGGUGGGUAAUGCAGAUCUACGACCCAGCUAGCGAGUGCAUCGUUGUCCCAGGCAGGGGCGAGAUCCCCGUAACAGCCGAAAGCGUCCACCACACCUUGGGUCUUCGUAAUUCAGGGGAGGAAGUGUUCUACGGGUGGGAUGCAGAAGCAAUAUCUUUCAUAAACAACAGGUUCGAUUUUCAGAAUGGGUGCGCCCCCGAGAUAACAACCGUCUGCACCAUGAUAAAAGAGAUGAACGAGAGAGCAGAUGACGACUUCAUGAGGGCCUGGCUGAUUGUGGUAGUUUGCACCUUCAUGUGCCCUACAACGAGCUUGCAUGUAAGCGCUCGAUGCUAUCCAAUAGUCGCCGACCUAGAGAAAAUGAAGAGGCUCAACUUCUCUGCAUUCAUAGCGAAUCAGAUAAAAGCUUCAUUAUGGGGUAGCAACAAGAAGAAGGCCGUAAACUGCUGUGUGCACCACAUGGUGGUGUUAUAUGUAGAUUCUCUGGUGGUAGACUUUGCAGUACCAGAUUUCCCAGUCCGGGUAGAGGCAUGGGACAAUAAACGUAUAGGACUAGUCGCAAAGGCAGACAAAAACCCUCAAGGAGGAUACGGCAAGCUUAGGAUGAAGCCAAGAUACACAAGCAACGGGCGUACGAACAGCCUUUUUGUUGGGUAUGAGGAGACCGAGAAGUUUGUUUUCUCAAAGUUGCCACCCACAUUCAAAAAAGUAAGAAGAGGAAAAUUGCUGCAAUGGUUAGCUCAUUGUGCUCAGAAUGGUCGGAUAGAAUUGGUAUAUUCAUUGAAGAGAUCGGCAGUCUGGAUAGGGAGGAUGACAGGGACUCUAGGAGCAACUCACACAGGACAAAGCGUCGCAGGGCUGCACACGUUCCAGGCAUAA
Molecule: ribosomal RNA, 1107 nt
Filed under: Triticum aestivum (bread wheat)
Lineage: Eukaryota; Viridiplantae; Streptophyta; Magnoliopsida; Poales; Poaceae
Description: partial small subunit ribosomal RNA
Source: RNAcentral